AAUUCUAUCUUUGUCACGCUUAAGAAUGGAAUCAGGUGAGAAUCCUGAGCUGUCGCGCAACUGUAUUGAGAAAUUCUCUGAGUCAGGUCUUUUUUUAAGCAUAAAAAUGCUUUCGCGAUCGAAGCUGAAAACUUCUUUUAGGAAGCAUG
This 149-nucleotide small RNA is filed under the name Flavobacteriia bacterium. The record is from RNAcentral. Lineage: Bacteria; Pseudomonadati; Bacteroidota; Flavobacteriia.